UGGGGAAUAUUGCACAAUGGGCGCAAGCCUGAUGCAGCCAUGCCGCGUGUGUGAAGAAGGCCUUCGGGUUGUAAAGCACUUUCAGCGGGGAGGAAGGCGAUAAGGUUAAUAACCUUGUCGAUUGACGUUACCCGCAGAAGAAGCACCGGCUAACUCCGUGCCAGCAGCCGCGGUAAUACGGAGGGUGCAAGCGUUAAUCGGAAUUACUGGGCGUAAAGCGCACGCAGGCGGUUUGUCAAGUCGGAUGUGAAAUCCCCGGGCUCAACCUGGGAACUGCAUUCGAAACUGGCAGGCUAGAGUCUUGUAGAGGGGGGUAGAAUUCCAGGUGUAGCGGUGAAAUGCGUAGAGAUCUGGAGGAAUACCGGUGGCGAAGGCGGCCCCCUGGACAAAGACUGACGCUCAGGUGCGAAAGCGUGGGGAGCAAACAGG
This 429-nucleotide ribosomal RNA is filed under the name Chloroflexota bacterium. RNAcentral's name for it is "Chloroflexi bacterium partial 16S ribosomal RNA". It matches the Rfam family "Bacterial small subunit ribosomal RNA", at positions 355 to 776 of the family's 1533-position model. Lineage: Bacteria; Bacillati; Chloroflexota. The record is from RNAcentral.